AUUAAACGCUGGCGGCAUGCCUUACACAUGCAAGUCGAACGGCAGCACGGGGGCAACCCUGGUGGCGAGUGGCGGACGGGUGAGUAAAGCAUCGGAACGUAUCCUGGAGUGGGGGAUAACGUAGCGAAAGUUACGCUAAUACCGCAUAUUCUGUGAGCAGGAAAGCAGGGGAUCGCAAGACCUUGCGCUCUGGGAGCGGCCGAUGUCGGAUUAGCUAGUUGGUGGGGUAAAGGCCUAACCAAGGCGACGAUCCGUGGCGGGGUCUGAGAGGAUGAUCCGCCACACUGGGACUGAGACACGGCCCAGACUCCUACGGGAGGCAGCAGUGGGGAAUUUUGGACAAUGGCGGAAGCUGAUCC
Molecule: ribosomal RNA, 359 nt
Filed under: uncultured bacterium
Lineage: Bacteria
Description: bacterial SSU rRNA
Rfam family: Bacterial small subunit ribosomal RNA
Source: RNAcentral